AGUCCCCUAGCUCAGCUGGUUAGAGCGCCACCUUGACACGGUGGAGGUCAGCGGUUCGAGUCCGCUGGGGACUACCA
RNAcentral lists this transfer RNA (77 nucleotides) under Acidobacteriota bacterium. RNAcentral's name for it is "tRNA-Val". It matches the Rfam family "tRNA". From Rfam's summary of the family: Transfer RNA (tRNA) molecules are approximately 80 nucleotides in length. Their secondary structure includes four short double-helical elements and three loops (D, anti-codon, and T loops). Further hydrogen bonds mediate the characteristic L-shaped molecular structure. tRNAs have two regions of fundamental functional importance: the anti-codon, which is responsible for specific mRNA codon recognition, and the 3' end, to which the tRNAs corresponding amino acid is attached (by aminoacyl-tRNA synthetases). tRNAs cope with the degeneracy of the genetic code in two manners: having more than one tRNA (with a specific anti-codon) for a particular amino acid; and 'wobble' base-pairing, i.e. permitting non-standard base-pairing at the 3rd anti-codon position. RNAcentral also lists the same sequence under 2 other names. Lineage: Bacteria; Pseudomonadati; Acidobacteriota. The record is from RNAcentral.